UGGUAGCUCAGUGGUUAAAACAUUGGACUACCGAUCAGAAGGUCAUGAGUUUAAAUCUCAGCACCAG
RNAcentral lists this transfer RNA (67 nucleotides) under Ameiurus melas (black bullhead). Its description in RNAcentral is "tRNA-Gly". Lineage: Eukaryota; Metazoa; Chordata; Actinopteri; Siluriformes; Ictaluridae. The record is from RNAcentral.